UAAACGACUCUCGGCAACGGAUAUCUCGGCUCACGCAUCGAUGAAGAACGUAGCAAAAUGCGAUACUUGGUGUGAAUUGCAGAAUCCCGUGAACCAUCGAGUUUUUGAACGCAAGUUGCGCCCGAGGCCUUCUGGUUGAGGGCACGUCUGCCUGGGCGUCACGC
RNAcentral lists this ribosomal RNA (164 nucleotides) under Selleophytum buchii. RNAcentral describes it as "5.8S ribosomal RNA". It matches the Rfam family "5.8S ribosomal RNA". From Rfam's summary of the family: 5.8S ribosomal RNA (5.8S rRNA) is a component of the large subunit of the eukaryotic ribosome. Lineage: Eukaryota; Viridiplantae; Streptophyta; Magnoliopsida; Asterales; Asteraceae. The record is from RNAcentral.